RNAcentral lists this ribosomal RNA (829 nucleotides) under Escherichia coli. RNAcentral describes it as "partial 23S ribosomal RNA". It matches the Rfam family "Bacterial large subunit ribosomal RNA", at positions 407 to 1238 of the family's 2925-position model. The record is from RNAcentral. Lineage: Bacteria; Pseudomonadati; Pseudomonadota; Gammaproteobacteria; Enterobacterales; Enterobacteriaceae.
GAUGAGUAGGGCGGGACACGUGGUAUCCUGUCUGAAUAUGGGGGGACCAUCCUCCAAGGCUAAAUACUCCUGACUGACCGAUAGUGAACCAGUACCGUGAGGGAAAGGCGAAAAGAACCCCGGCGAGGGGAGUGAAAAAGAACCUGAAACCGUGUACGUACAAGCAGUGGGAGCCUCUUAAUGGGGUGACUGCGUACCUUUUGUAUAAUGGGUCAGCGACUUAUAUUCUGUAGCAAGGUUAACCGAAUAGGGGAGCCGAAGGGAAACCGAGUCUUAACUGGGCGUUAAGUUGCAGGGUAUAGACCCGAAACCCGGUGAUCUAGCCAUGGGCAGGUUGAAGGUUGGGUAACACUAACUGGAGGACCGAACCGACUAAUGUUGAAAAAUUAGCGGAUGACUUGUGGCUGGGGGUGAAAGGCCAAUCAAACCGGGAGAUAGCUGGUUCUCCCCGAAAGCUAUUUAGGUAGCGCCUCGUGAAUUCAUCUCCGGGGGUAGAGCACUGUUUCGGCAAGGGGGUCAUCCCGACUUACCAACCCGAUGCAAACUGCGAAUACCGGAGAAUGUUAUCACGGGAGACACACGGCGGGUGCUAACGUCCGUCGUGAAGAGGGAAACAACCCAGACCGCCAGCUAAGGUCCCAAAGUCAUGGUUAAGUGGGAAACGAUGUGGGAAGGCCCAGACAGCCAGGAUGUUGGCUUAGAAGCAGCCAUCAUUUAAAGAAAGCGUAAUAGCUCACUGGUCGAGUCGGCCUGCGCGGAAGAUGUAACGGGGCUAAACCAUGCACCGAAGCUGCGGCAGCGACACUAUGUGUUGUUGGGUAGGGGAGCG